RNAcentral lists this ribosomal RNA (472 nucleotides) under uncultured soil bacterium. RNAcentral describes it as "bacterial SSU rRNA". It matches the Rfam family "Bacterial small subunit ribosomal RNA", at positions 26 to 482 of the family's 1533-position model. The record is from RNAcentral.
AGAAUCAACGCUGGCGGCGUGCCUAACACAUGCAAGUCGAACGCGAAGACCCCGCAAGGGGGUUGGUAGCGUGGCAAACGGGUGAGUAACGCGUGGGCGACCUACCUCAGAGUGGGGGAUAACCUUCCGAAAGGGAGGCUAAUACCGCAUGACAUCCCGUGUUUAGAUACACGGUGAUCAAAGCCGGGGGAUCGCAAGACCUGGCGCUUGGAGAGGGGCCCGCGUCCGAUUAGCUAGUUGGUGGGGUAACGGCUCACCAAGGCUCCGAUCGGUAUCCGGCCUGAGAGGGCGGACGGACACACUGGGACUGGAGACACGGCCCAGACUCCUACGGGAGGCAGCAGUGGGGAAUUGUCGCAAUGGGCGCAAGCCUGACGACGCAACGCCGCGUGGAGGAUGAAGCCUUCGGGUAGUAAACUCCGUUCGACGAGCUAGAACUACUACGAUCGAACCUUAAUACCGUUGAACUAGA